ACGCGCGACGCCUCCCCACUGUCCUCCGAACUGAGUUUCUCGAAAGGGAUGUCUAUCGCAGACAGCUCGUCUUUUCCUGGUUACCCCUCCAUAUGUCGCUCUCGAGCCUGUAACAGGACCUCGUGAAUGCCGCAGCUGGAUCAUGGUGGGGAAUGCGUCCUGUAUAGGAUUUGCCAGGCAGACGGGUAACAACGUUCGGAACUUAACCCUAAGCUUCAUAUCUGGUCAUCAAGUCUUGCGCUGUUGUCGCUCGAAUCGUCUUUUAUGCCGUGAAAGCGCCCGACUGUUGUGCCCACUGAAAAGUGGGAGGUUCGACUGAAGGCGCUUGGAUCGACGGACAGGCGAGGAGGGCAGUCCAGUCACCUGUUGGUGCGCGAGAGGAUUGGUGCCAUAGGUAGUGUAAGUCCCUCUGCAGGACACCUGUCAGCCCUUUCCACUGGAACCAGCACAUCGGUCAACAGUAGACCGUCUAGGCGAUGCGAUAAAGCUCGAGUGUUUGGAGAUGGAACUAGCCUGGCCACUUGGUCAAACUGCUGGCUUGCCCAUGGCACGCAGCUGAGGAGUGGAGCUUCAUAUUGACCACAAACAGUCAGUCUAAGAACUUCAUACAACUCCUGAGUUAUCGUUUGUCGGAACCGCCAGCUAGGAUAAUUCCAGCUGGUGCAGCAGACAACUUAUGGAAACAUACAGAAGUUCUUUGACCGACACCUUUAGUCAAUCUGAUAGCCCCCGGCCCUCUGAAGCUGUUUAUGCUUUCGUGCAUUGACACACUAAUUCCAUCCACCCAACCCCGUGGCCCUUUCGCUCACUGGACCACACCACAGCACUCGCUCCCGGUGUGUGACGCUCCGCGUCUGGUCUGACCCAGCGCAUUAACCUCCAGCCACGGGUCACAGCCCUUGGUCAGGAUGGACGCCAGCACGCCAGCAAGGGCCAGUAGGCCUUAGCAGGUCCCUCGGAUCGGCCGCAAGGUUGAACUUGAGAUGAAAGGGUGGUUUUUAUGGAUGUAUUUUGUCCACCCGUUAAUGCCCUCCAUACCUCUCGCUGGCGAGAAAUUUGGAGAGGAAUCAAAAACUUGUCCUAGGGGGCAGCGCGAAUCACACAGAAGGAGUUCCCUUGUCGGCGUCAGUGCGCUUCCGGAUUGUGUUCUGCCAUGACGGCCUUUCAGCAGAAUCGUGUCGGCGAAGGUAUAAGAUCAUUGCAGAACUGUCAGCUCACGAAACAGACUUCACCUUUGCAAUUCUCACUGCUGUGAAACGAUGCUCGUAGUUGAUGUUGGAAGCAGUGCCAGGACCCAUCUCGAGUUGGAGUCAAAGUUUCGUGCUUGUCUGGUACUGUCAACGACUAUUCUACGCAGCUGAAGAUCUCGCCUUUGAGUAGCAAUGGCAAGGCUGGGUUGUAUUGUUGGAUCUAGGACAGGCCUUGUUGGGUGAGGUAGUCCUGGCUGUCCUCUCUCCUGAAAAUGGUGCGGAGGACAGCCCCCC
RNAcentral lists this telomerase RNA (1484 nucleotides) under Fusarium poae. RNAcentral's name for it is "Ascomycota telomerase RNA". It matches the Rfam family "Ascomycota telomerase RNA", at positions 208 to 1848 of the family's 1858-position model. Lineage: Eukaryota; Fungi; Ascomycota; Sordariomycetes; Hypocreales; Nectriaceae. The record is from Rfam by way of RNAcentral.